UUAUUGCAGGACUCAGUAGAACGUAUAGGAGACCGAAAUGUUGACAUUAAAGUAACUCCAACUCCUUUAGCGAAGCACGGUACCGGCAGUUGGAAAGCAUGCAAGUUUAUCUUAGCGACGGAGUGCUUCGAGGAGCUAGCAUACUAUGGGAUCCAGUUCAACCUGGUAACCUUCCUCAAGACCAUCUUACACGAGAGCAAUGUGUCGGCAGCAAGAAACUACACGAAUUGGCAGGGGACUUGCUACGUGGCUCCCCUCGUCGGAGCGAUCGUGGCAGACUCCUACCUGGGAAGAUACCUGACCACACUGGCCUUCUUCGCUGUUUACCUAAUCGGAAUGGCUGCAAUGUCAAUUUCAGCAUCGUUGCGGCCGGAUGGCUCGUCGUCUUCUCCUCAGUCCGUCAUCUUCUUCCUUGGCCUGUACAUGAUGGCCAUCGGAGCCGGCGGCAUCAAGCCCUGCGUCUCCUCCUUCGGCGCCGACCAGUUCGACGACACGGACCCGACGGAGAGGCUGAAGAAGAACUCCUUCUUCAACUGGUUCUUCUUCUCCGUCUACAUCGGCAGCUUCGUCGCCGGCACCGUCGUUGUGUGGGUGCAGGACCACUACGGGUGGGUGAUAGGCCUCUGGAUCCCCACCCUGUUCAUCGCAUUGGCCAUGGCGAGUUUUUUCCUGGGAUCCAGUUCCUAUAGAGUGCAGAAGCCUCUCGGAAGCCCACUGGUAAGCGUUUGCCAGGUCAUCGUCGCGGCUGUCCGGAAGCGGAAUGUAGAUUUGCCACGUGAUGCUUCUCUUCUUUACGAGCUACCUGAGGAUGUGCCAAUGGCGGAAGGUACCAAGAAAUUGCAGCAUACACCGGUGAUCCGUUUCCUGGACAAGGCUGCAGUGAUCUCUUCGGCCGAAGAGCUUUACUCUGCUCCAUGGAGGGUUUGCACAGUCACACAAAUCGAGGAGCUUAAGAUCGUGAUCGGCAUGCUCCCGAUCUGGGCCACCGGUAUCGUGUUCUUCGCCGUCCUCGCGCAGUUCUCCUCGACGUUCCUGGUGCAAGGGAGGAUGAUGGACACGAUGGUCGGCACCUUCGCCAUCCCUCCGGCGUCCUUGGCUUGCUUCGACGCCGUGAGCGUCAUCCUCUUCGUGCCCGUCUACGACAGGGUGCUCAUCCCGACGGCGAGGAGGUUCACCGGUAACGAGCGGGGGUUCUCGGAGCUACAGCGGUUCGGCAUCGGCCUAUUCCUCUCCAUCCUGGUCAUGGCGGCCGCUGUGGUGGUGGAGACGCGGCGGUUGGCGCUCGGCCGGAUGUGCAUCCUGUGGCAGGUGCCACAGUAUCUCCUGGUCGGCGCCAGCGUCGUGUUCGCGUGCGUCGGGCAGUCGGAGUUCUUCUACAAUGAGGCUCCGGAGUCCAUGAGGAGCCUUUGCACCGCGCUAGGGCUCCUCACGGUGUCGCUCGGGAGCUACCUCAGCUCGCUCGUGGUAACCCUGGUGGCCAGCAUCACGACGAGGGGCGGUGAGCCCGGGUGGAUACCUAACAACCUUAACGUGGGCCACCUCGACCGCUUCUUCUGGCUCGUUGCUGCGCUUAGCUCGUUGAAUCUAGCGGUUUUUGUCUGUUGUGCGAAGAGAUACAAA
This 1620-nucleotide ribosomal RNA is filed under the name Triticum aestivum (bread wheat). RNAcentral's name for it is "partial small subunit ribosomal RNA". The record is from RNAcentral. Lineage: Eukaryota; Viridiplantae; Streptophyta; Magnoliopsida; Poales; Poaceae.